AGAGUUUGAUCAUGGCUCAGGACGAACGCUGGCGGCGUGCUUAACACAUGCAAGUCGAGCGGAAAGGCCACUUCGGUGGUACUCGAGCGGCGAACGGGUGAGUAACACGUGAGUAAUCUGCCCUUGGCUUUGGGAUAGCCACCGGAAACGGUGAUUAAUACCGGAUAUGACCACUUCUCGCAUGGGAUGGUGGUGGAAAGUUUUUUCGGCCAGGGAUGUGCUCGCGGCCUAUCAGCUUGAUGGUGAGGUAAUGGCUCACCAUGGCUUCGACGGGUAGCCGGCCUGAGAGGGUGACCGGUCACACUGGGACUGAGACACAGCCCAGACUCCUACGGGAGGCAGCAGUGGGGAAUAUUGGACAAUGGGCGGAAGCCUGAUCCAGCAACGCCGCGUGAGGGAUGACGGCCUUCGGGUUGUAAACCUCUUUCGGUGGGGACGAAGCGCAAGUGACGGUACCCACUAAAGAAGCACCGGCCAACUACGUGCCAGCAGCCGCGGUAAUACGUAGGGUGCGAGCGUUGUCCGGAAUUAUUGGGCGUAAAGGGCUCGUAGGCGGUUUGUCGCGUCGGGAGUGAAAACCAGGUGCUUAACACCUGGCUUGCUUUCGAUACGGGCAGACUAGAGGCAUUCAGGGGAGAACGGAAUUCCUGGUGUAGCGGUGAAAUGCGCAGAUAUCAGGAGGAACACCGGUGGCGAAGGCGGUUCUCUGGGAAUGACCUGACGCUGAGGAGCGAAAGUGUGGGGAGCGAACAGGAUUAGAUACCCUGGUAGUCCACACCGUAAACGUUGGGCGCUAGGUGUGGGGUCCAUUCCACGGAUUCCGUGCCGCAGCUAACGCAUUAAGCGCCCCGCCUGGGGAGUACGGCCGCAAGGCUAAAACUCAAAGGAAUUGACGG
This 896-nucleotide ribosomal RNA is filed under the name uncultured bacterium. RNAcentral describes it as "bacterial SSU rRNA". It matches the Rfam family "Bacterial small subunit ribosomal RNA", at positions 8 to 916 of the family's 1533-position model. The record is from RNAcentral.